Molecule: ribosomal RNA, 484 nt
Filed under: uncultured bacterium
Lineage: Bacteria
Description: partial 16S ribosomal RNA
Rfam family: Bacterial small subunit ribosomal RNA
Source: RNAcentral
AUUGAACGCUGGCGGCAGGCCUAACACAUGCAAGUCGAGCGGAUGAAGGCAGCUUUCGCCUGGAUUCAGCGGCGGACGGGGGAGUAAUGCCUAUGAAUCUGCCUGGUAGUGGGGGAUAACGUCCUGAAACGGGCGCUAAUACCGCAUACGUCCUGAGGCAGAAAGUGGGGGGGCUUCGGACCGCACGCGAUCAGAUGAGCCUAGGUCGGAUUAGCUAGUUGGUGGGUUAAAGGGCUACUAAGGCGACGAUCCGUGACUGGUCUGAGAGGAUGAUAAGUCACAUGGGAACGGAGACACGGACAAGAGUACUGCGGGAGGGAGCAGUGGGGAAUAGUGGGCAAUGGGCGAGAGUAUGAUACAGCCAGGCCGAGUCUGAGACGAAGGUGUUCGGAGUGGAAAGACGUCUAUGUUGGGAGGAAGGGCUGUAGGUUAAUACGUUGCUUUUGUGACGGUAACGAGAGAAUAAGCACCGGCUAACUUCGUG